Molecule: ribosomal RNA, 445 nt
Filed under: uncultured Rothia sp.
Lineage: Bacteria; Bacillati; Actinomycetota; Actinomycetes; Micrococcales; Micrococcaceae
Description: bacterial SSU rRNA
Rfam family: Bacterial small subunit ribosomal RNA
Source: RNAcentral
CCUACGGGCGGCAGCAGUGGGGAAUAUUGCACAAUGGGCGCAAGCCUGAUGCAGCGACGCCGCGUGAGGGAUGACGGCCUUCGGGUUGUAAACCUCUGUUAGCAUCGAAGAAGCGAAAGUGACGGUAGGUGCAGAGAAAGCGCCGGCUAACUACGUGCCAGCAGCCGCGGUAAUACGUAGGGCGCGAGCGUUGUCCGGAAUUAUUGGGCGUAAAGAGCUUGUAGGCGGUCGGUCGCGUCUGCUGUGAAAGGCUGGGGCUUAACCCUGGUUUUGCAGUGGGUACGGGCUAACUAGAGGGCAGUAGGGGAGACUGGAAUUCCUGGUGUAGCGGUGGAAUGCGCAGAUAUCAGGAGGAACACCGAUGGCGAAGGCAGGUCUCUGGGCUGUAACUGACGCUGAGAAGCGAAAGCAUGGGGAGCGAACAGGAUUAGAUACCCCAGUAGUC